This 361-nucleotide long non-coding RNA is filed under the name Ananas comosus (pineapple). Its description in RNAcentral is "long non-coding RNA (ACOM_LNC005957)". The record is from RNAcentral. Lineage: Eukaryota; Viridiplantae; Streptophyta; Magnoliopsida; Poales; Bromeliaceae.
CACUGGAUCUCACAUACCCCUUAUCCAUCAGAUCCUGAAGCUGCGCCUUUAACUCUCUCAGCUCUGCCGGUGCCAUCCGGUAAGGUACCUUUGAGAUUGGUGCAGUUCCAGGAACUACAUCAAUCACGAACUCAAUCUCCCUCUCCGGCGGCAUCGUAGUCAACUCAGGGGGAAACACAUCCAGAAACUCGCGGACUACUGGGAUAUCCUCGAGUCUCGGCGCCACCGUAGGUACCUCUACAACAGUCGCCAGAAAGGCAACACAUCCUCUACUCAUCAGCUGUCGAGCCCUCGCCGAAGAUAUCCAAGUGGCAAACAGUGCAUUCCUGCAGCCUCUAAAAGUAAAUUCCUCCUGGCCUGG